UGGGGAAUUUUGCGCAAUGGGGGAAACCCUGACGCAGCGACGCCGCGUGUGGGAUGAAGGUCUUCGGAUUGUAAACCACUGUCGCGAGGGACGAAGCUCUGACGGUACCUCGAAAGGAAGCACCGGCUAACUCUGUGCCAGCAGCCGCGGUAAUACAGAGGGUGCGAGCGUUGUCCGGAAUCACUGGGCGUAAAGGGCGCGUAGGCGGCCCGGUAAGUAGGGGGUGAAAUCUCAUGGCUCAACUGUGAGGCUGCCUUCUAGACUGCCAGGCUUGAGCACAGUAGAGGCGAGUGGAAUUCCCGGUGUAGCGGUGGAAUGCGUAGAGAUCGGGAAGAACAUCGGUGGCGAAGGCGGCUCGCUGGGCUGUUGCUGACGCUGAGGCGCGAAAGCGUGGGUAGCGAACAGGAUUAGAUACCCGAGUAGUCCCUGAGCGGGCUGGCAAGGCGCAU
Molecule: ribosomal RNA, 449 nt
Filed under: uncultured bacterium
Lineage: Bacteria
Description: bacterial SSU rRNA
Rfam family: Bacterial small subunit ribosomal RNA
Source: RNAcentral